AGAGUAUGCCAAGACUGAAUCCUUUACAUCCACCAUUUGUCCAUAAACGCACCGUCAGUCUGGAAACACCAGAUGUUCACCAACACAACCAUCAGAGGGCACUGAUCAUGCAGAGAAGAGAGCAUUGCAGAUAUCAUCAGGUGUGGCGAAAGCCCUUCUAUGGAACCAGCAGUGAGAGAGAAGAGUACAGGAAGGAGUUGCGAGAGCAGUUAAAGAGGCAAAUAGAGGAGAAAUGUGUAGCAAUAAAGCUGCAGCGGGCCAAUAAAACAAAGGAAGCAGAGUUUCUCAGAGAAG
Molecule: long non-coding RNA, 294 nt
Organism: Archocentrus centrarchus (flier cichlid)
Lineage: Eukaryota; Metazoa; Chordata; Actinopteri; Cichliformes; Cichlidae
Exons: 3
Source: RefSeq, a predicted model, not a curated record